GUGGGGAAUCUUGCGCAAUGGGCGAAAGCCUGACGCAGCCAUGCCGCGUGAAUGAUGAAGGUCUUAGGAUUGUAAAAUUCUUUCACCGGGGACGAUAAUGACGGUACCCGGAGAAGAAGCCCCGGCUAACUUCGUGCCAGCAGCCGCGGUAAUACGAAGGGGGCUAGCGUUGCUCGGAAUUACUGGGCGUAAAGGGCGCGUAGGCGGACAGUUUAGUCAGAGGUGAAAGCCCAGGGCUCAACCUUGGAAUUGCCUUUGAUACUGGCUGUCUUGAGUACGGGAGAGGUGAGUGGAACUCCGAGUGUAGAGGUGAAAUUCGUAGAUAUUCGGAAGAACACCAGUGGCGAAGGCGACUCACUGGUCCGUUACUGACGCUGAGGCGCGAAAGCGUGGGGAGCAAACAGGAUUAGAAACCCUGGUAGUCC
This 425-nucleotide ribosomal RNA is filed under the name uncultured bacterium. RNAcentral describes it as "partial 16S ribosomal RNA". It matches the Rfam family "Bacterial small subunit ribosomal RNA", at positions 354 to 796 of the family's 1533-position model. The record is from RNAcentral.